Molecule: long non-coding RNA, 898 nt
Organism: Pseudophryne corroboree (corroboree frog)
Lineage: Eukaryota; Metazoa; Chordata; Amphibia; Anura; Myobatrachidae
Exons: 4
Source: RefSeq, a predicted model, not a curated record
CUAGUGGUCCUGUGCGCUAUACUACACAACAUCGCGGUAAGGAGUAGCGUAGAGCUUCCUCAGACAGAGGAAUUGCCUGAUGAGGAGCCAGGGGUUGUCCGACACUUCGGUGGGGGGAGUGUUACACGGAGGGGGAGCCAAGUCAGGGCAAGCAUUGUUGCGGAAUAUUUCAGCUGAAUGAUCACACAAACUGUGGACGACCACAACGGCAAGCAACACAUGAGGCACCAUCUCAGCCCCCUUCCCCUUCUCACUCCCCCUCCACUUCCCAGUCCCCCUCCCCUUCUCACUCCCCCUCCCCUUCCCAAUCCCCCUCAGCUUCCCAGUCCCCCUCAGCUUCCCAAUCCCCCUCUGCUUCCCAGUCCCCCUCAGCUUCCCAGUCCCCCUCAGCUUCCCAAUCCCCCUCAGCUUCCCAGUCACCCUCAGCUACCCAGGCCCACUCCACUUUCCACUCCCCUUCUCACCCCACCUCUCCUUCUCUUUCUGUGACCCCUUCUCCUCCUUCCCAUACCCCUUCUCCUUCAACUUCCAAAUCACCUUCUCAGCCCCCCUCACCCUCUAUUGGCCUAACAUUCUCUCCGCCCCCCUCGCCCUCUCAAUCAGACCCACCCUCUGAAAUAACAUCCCCAAUCCCUCCUCCUUCCCCCAUCCAGCCUCCUUCACCCAUCCCUCCUCCUUCCCCAAUCCCUCCUCCUUCCCCCAUCCAGCCGCCUUCCCCCAUCCAGCUGGCAUCACCACCCAGCGAAUGGGCAGAAGAAGCCCCAGAUGGGCUAAGUGACAAUGUUGUGGAGGAAAAUUCUGCAGUUGGAGAUCCCAGCACUUUGCCUGAACUUUUAGGGCGGCUGAAAGCCCAUUUAAGGGAAGUGUUAGCAGAUAUCGAGGCAAUAGAAAAAAAUCU